This is a long non-coding RNA of Cercocebus atys (sooty mangabey), 2062 nucleotides long. RefSeq lists it as uncharacterized. Lineage: Eukaryota; Metazoa; Chordata; Mammalia; Primates; Cercopithecidae. The transcript is spliced from 2 exons. The record is from RefSeq and is a predicted model, not a curated record.
UUGAAGAAGAAUGGUGGUAGUUUAUUUCUAAUUUUUAUGGAUACAUAAUAGUUGUACAUAUUUAUGGGGUACAUAUAUUUUGAUACAAACAUACAAUGUGUAAUAAUCAAAUCAGGGUAAUUGGGGUACCCAUCACCUCAAACAUUUAUCAUUUGUGUUGGGAAGAUUCCAAAUCCACUCCUUUAUUGUGAAAUAUAUAAUAAAUUAUUGUUAACUGUAUUUACUCUGUUGUGCUACCAAACACUGGACCAUAUUCCUUCUAUAUAUUUUUGCACCCAUUAUCCAACUCCUCUUUAUCCUCCCAUCCCGCAACCCCCAUUACCCUUCCCAACCUCUGCUAUCCUCUGUUGUAUUCACUACCUAUAGUGGUAGAUUCUGAAUGUAAUUUGAUUCCAUGCAUAUUCAUUCUAAGUGUAUUUAUUGCCAGUUUCUAUCUGGGUGGGUGUGAGGCAUGAUACAAUCCCAUUUAACUUAGAGAGAUCUCUGUGGCUGAAUGUGUUGGCUGGGGCAAUAACCAAAGUUUAAGCAUUUUAAGAAGCUACUGCAAAAUCCAGGUAGGCUGUAGUAAAGCCUGAAGUAAGGUGACGUAGAACAAAGCACUAGUUACUGGCUGGAUGUAGGGAGCAAGGAUGAAGUCAAAUGUUUUUUUAAAGGAUUUAUAUGCCUGUAGGUAAAAUGUGAAUUAAGAUGCCUAAAACAUGUAGCCUCUGGCUAACCCUAGACUCCAAGAGAAGCUCCCAGCCAAGUCUCCUGGAGGCCACCGGAAAUAAGUCAUCACACCAUAAUCCACUGCCAAGUAAUGAUUCUGGAUCCCAUCCACCAAUUCACCCACAGACUUCAUGUUCUCAGCAGCACAGUGGUGUGACAGGAAGCAUACUAGACAUGAGAUUUCAUUUAAUGGCCUGAGAAGCUAAGGGCAGAAUUGGGGUUCCAAACUGAAAUACUUCCAAGGCCUGCCAGAUAAGUGAGUCAAGUACGUCCCUUAACCUUGGUGUUAAGGAGACAAUCCAGGGUGGUGGGCCAUAGAGCAAACCCGGGAGUGCAUACCCUGAGCAAGGGUGUAGCCACCCGACAGGUAGAGUCACUCAACUUCACCCAAGUGUUGUCAUUCAAGAAUGUGGGCUCAGUGUUGUCAAAACAGCACAUUUUAAAAGAGCAGCUUGAUAUGCAGAUUUUAGAUUUCCUCAUUUUUAAAUGCUGGCAGUUGUUUAAAACCAAGAUGGACAAACAGAAAAAUAAACCAAAACACUGUCAAGGACAAAUAGCACAUUGUAUGAAAACACAAUGGAGCCCACAAGAUGCAACCUUGGUGCGGAGAUCUGCGGAAAGUGAAGAGAAUUGAGAAGGAAGUUGUUGGGAGGACUAGAAAAUCUAUUAAUCAGAGUCCAGAGCACUCCGCUAAGAGCACAAUCCAGCUGGCGGAAAUGGGAUUUAAGUGGAAAUUCCUCCCUCUCAGUGAAUAACAAAUAUGAUGCGUAUUUCCCUGAUUACGGUCUUUACGUCCCUUACAUUUUCCAACUCUCUUGAUAUCCCCAUUUUGCAGAUUCGGUAGAGAAUCAUCCUCUUGAAUAGUAAUCUAGUUUAGUUGUGGUUUCGGUUUGCUUUGGUAUUGACAUUUCCUAGAGAGCUCCAAUAGACAAACAGAUAAAAGCUGACCUGCUGCAGUUAAGUCUGGGGAUGUGGUGAUGGGAUCCCUGUAUCCCUCUUGAGACUGUCCCUGAGACCUGUAGCUCUAGAAUCUAAUCCUCAUGACCUCUGACGUUCCUCCAGAAGUAAACUGUGUGUGAACUUGUGCUCCCUUGAGAAGCUGCCUUGAGGAAGGGUUUCAAUUCUUCUAAUAUUUUAGCAAGUUUACUCCUCUUCUUUUUUUUUUUUUUAGUUUUGCAAAUUUUCAUGAAGUUUUUAAAAGUUGACUUAAUUUGUUAUUUCUCUGUUAACAACUACCACUAUGAAAACUUGACUCUAUUGAGUUUGGGUUUUCUUUUCUUUUUUUUUUUUUUUUUUGAGACGGAGUUUCACUCUUGGUUGCCCAGGUGGAGUGCAAUGGUGCGAUCUCUACUCA